This 66-nucleotide transfer RNA is filed under the name Manis culionensis (Palawan pangolin). RNAcentral's name for it is "tRNA-Val". Lineage: Eukaryota; Metazoa; Chordata; Mammalia; Pholidota; Manidae. The record is from RNAcentral.
CAAAGUGUAGCUUAAACAAAGCGUCUGGCCUACGCCCAGAAGAUCUCAAUAAAUUGACCACUUUGA